GUCUAUAGUGGAGAAAUUGGAGAUGAGUGUCUCUGCUGCUUUGUAUAAAUUAUCUUUGGUGAACGAAUUCUUGACGACUUGAUUUGGCUCGCUUUUUUCUACAUUCUCCCAAGUGGAUAUUUAUCGAAGUGGGGAUGCCGAAAUUUUUUCCGUUUCAUAUGGACUGUAUAUUUGUUCCACAAUAGUCCUCCCUUGAUAUUGCAUGCACAACGUUGCUGAACAGAAUUGUGGAGCAUAUCUCUUCUCGCUGCGGCCUUCUCCGUUUUUAAUCAAAUUGUGGCCGUGUUUGAUUUGAUGAUCUACAUCUAAAGAGAGUUAUUCUUGCACUAUUUUACUGUUUGUUUCUUUUAUUUCUGUUAUAUUGGAAUAGGAAUUCGUUUCCUCUCUAAGGAUUUCAUUGGGCACCAGAAUUCAUUAAUGGAACCAUCAUGUUCUGCAGACUGUAAGAUAAUCUCUAAGGAAUUCGAGUCAUAAACGUUUCUGUAGAAAACUUGUUUCAUUUUGUAGAGUGAACAGCGUGGUUUGGGAAAGUAUCUCCAUCCGGUAAUUGUGCUUUGAUCAUAGUUGAGUCCAAAAUAGUUGCAAUUGAUGGCAUUGUUCCAAACAUAAAUAUUCUGUUGGUUGUGUCCUAUGUCUCACUAUUUCUAGAUGUUUAAUCAGGGAUCUAUGUCAAAAAAAAUCUUCUAUUUGUAUAUAGAUACUUUAUUCUUUAUUGUUAUAUUUAAUCUGAAGAUCAUUGUGAUUCAUAUAGAUUUUGGAAUUCAAUAUAGUAAUGUGGUGUUUGAUAGUGUUGUUGAGUUCAUUUUGGAUUUUGUUUUGGAUUAGUCAAAAGUUCAUUAAGACUUGCAGCAAUCUUUGUGUAAUCUAAUCUAGAUGUUCAGUCUGCUCAAUAUUGGUAAACGGACUAGAACACCGGCUCUCUUUCAUCUCAACUGUUGAUCUACAACUACUUGGUAGUCUACAGACAAACCAAAGAUGAGUAGUAUCUCAACUAUAUACGUGUGAUUCUGCGUCACAAUCAGGUAUUUUUUAAUUCAUUUUUUUAUUCAUAUUUUUAAAGUUUCACCUCAUUCAUAUACUAACUUGAGCGUCGGACUGCUAACCUUUUUUGCAGGUACCCCUCUGACCCCAAAACGAAAGUCUUACCGCGGUAGUUGUCUUCGUCUUCAGCCUUACAUCGUUUCAGUAUGGAAUAGUUAUAAUUGAAUGUUCUAAAUCUUCUUCAUAAUAGUCUUUUGCAUGCAUGCUGAAGUUCUGAUGUUUUUUUUUGUUUUGUCAAUGGAGUGCUAGAUAAUGUUUCUUAGAUUGCUGAUUGUGUUUACUUGAUAGAUUUGAGUUGCGACAGGUUGAUAGUGUUUUCUUAAUGGAUUUGCAUUGCGUUCAGGUUGCCGAUCGCGUUUUCUUAAUGGAUUUGCGAUGCAUGCUUCAGAUUGUUGAAGCACACACAUGAAACUGACUUGACACAAGUUUUCAUUUGAUAAGUAAGAGAUAUGUUUAACCAUUAUGCAGCAAAGCCAGGAUUAGCUUCAUAUCUAAAACCUUAAGAACAGAGAACAGCUCCAGAUAGAUAAAUCAAACUUCUUCAAAUUGAAUUUCGAACAUGUUUUGCUGCAGCAGCUUGGUUUGUCAAAACAAUAACCUUCUUCAAAGCAUGCAUCAGCCUGGCUUUUUGAUUUGGUGAUAUCUAUAAAAUAAUUUUUGUUUUCAAUUCUGAGAGCGUAUUUUUCUUGAAGUUGUCUUUUGAUCUUGUAUAAGUUGUUGAAGUUUGUGUUUCUUCCGUGUUGAGGUUUUUGUGUUUCUAUUAUCAGGGACUUAGAUCUUUGGCUAAGUGCAAAUUAUGGAAUUAGAUACCAUCUUUGAAUCUUUGAUAUAGCCCAAGCACGUCUCAGUGUCGUGUGUCAGAUACUGACGCUUCCUACUAUGGCUGCACUUUAAUUUGGUCAUCACUACCAAGACUUUUACGCUUUAGUCUUUGUUUGAUUUGAUACACAACAUCUACUUUUGUCGGAUUCUUUGAGUUGUGUGAGUUUUGCAGGGAGAUGCAUUUAUCCCGUUUCGCAGAAAGCAUGGUGGAUAUCCAGAAUGCCUUGAUACAACAACCAGAACAGGAAAUAACUCUAGAUAGCUAAAUCAAUUUUUUAUGGGUCAUUCUUUACUAUUUUUAUUUCCGACCUUUGAUUGCAAGGCAUACAAAUUAAUUUCUGAAGUGUUUUGCUUCAGCGUGGUUGUUUCCAACUAAUAACCUUCUUCAGGGCAUGGAGCUUAGCAUUUCAAUUUUUGAUUUGGUGAUCUCCAUUAAAUUCUUUUUAUAUUGAUUCUAUUUUUUGGUUCUGAAACCAUAUCUUCUUUGAUUUGGUGUUUACUCUCUGGUGUUGCAGGAUAUUUAAUAUGUUAACAGACGAUUUCUUCUUGUUCUAUUUUCCUCUUGUUUGAUCUUCAUGGCUGUUGAUUUUUGCUUUCUUGAUUCUUAGGUUUGAUUUGGUUUUUGUUAGUUUUGACCUUGGAAGUUACUGUCUACUAUUAUUUUGUUAGGGUUUUAAAUGAUUGUUCUUUUGUGUAUACAUAUGGGUGACCUUGGAAGUCACUUUUUUCUACAUUCUCCCAAGUGGAUAUUUAUCGAAGUGGGGAUGCCGAAAUUUUUACCGUUUCAUAUGGACUGUGUAUAUUUGUUCCACAAUAGUCCUCCUUUAUUGCAUGCUUAACAUUGCUGAACAGAAUUGUGGAGCAUAUCUCUUCUCGCUACCUUCUCCGUUUUUAAGCAAAUUGUGGCCGUGUUUGAUUUGAUGAUCUACAUCUAAAGAGAGUUAUUCUUGCACUCUUUUACUGUUUGUUUCUUUUAUUUCUGAUAUAUUGGAAUAGGAAUUCGUUUCCUCUCUAAGGAUUUCAUCGGGCACCAGAAUUCAUUAUUAGAACCAUCA
RNAcentral lists this long non-coding RNA (2918 nucleotides) under Lathyrus oleraceus (garden pea). RNAcentral describes it as "Pisum sativum (pea) long non-coding RNA (PSAT_LNC021818)". The record is from RNAcentral. Lineage: Eukaryota; Viridiplantae; Streptophyta; Magnoliopsida; Fabales; Fabaceae.